UCUCCGUAGGUGAACCUGCGGAGGGAUCAUUACUGAGUGAGGGUCUCCGGGCCCGACCUCCAACCCUUUGUGAAUCGUACUCGUUGCUUCGGGGGCGACCCUGCCUUUCGGCGCGGCGCCCCCGGAGGCUCAUCAAACACUGCAUCUUUGCGUCGGAGUUUAAACAAAUUAAACAAAACUUUCAACAACGGAUCUCUUGGUUCGGGCAUCGAUGAAGAACGCAGC
RNAcentral lists this unclassified non-coding RNA (225 nucleotides) under uncultured fungus. Its description in RNAcentral is "sequence contains ITS1, 5.8S rRNA gene". The stretch from base 177 to 225 matches the Rfam family "5.8S ribosomal RNA", at positions 1 to 49 of the family's 154-position model. The record is from RNAcentral. Lineage: Eukaryota; Fungi.